Molecule: ribosomal RNA, 500 nt
Filed under: uncultured bacterium
Lineage: Bacteria
Description: partial 16S ribosomal RNA
Rfam family: Bacterial small subunit ribosomal RNA
Source: RNAcentral
GAUGAACGCUGGCGGCAUGCCUUACACAUGCAAGUCGAACGGCAGCACGGGAGCAAUCCUGGUGGCGAGUGGCGAACGGGGGAGUAAUGUAUCGGAACGUGCCCAGUCGUGGGGGAUAACGCAGCGAAAGCUGUGCUAAUACCGCAUACGAUCUAUGGAUGAAAGCGGGGGAUCGCAAGACCUCGCGCGAUUGGAGCGGCCGAUAUCAGAUUCGGUAGUUGGUGGGGUAAAGGCCCACCAAGCCAGCGAUCUGUAGCUGGUCUGAGAGGACGACCAGUCACACUGGACCCGAGAAGCGGUCCAGAGUCCUCCGGCAGGCAGCGUUGGGGAAUCGUGGUCGAUGGGCGCAAGCCUGACUCAGCAAUGCCGCGUGCAGGAUGAAGGCCUUCGGGUUGUAAACUGCUUUUGUACGGAGCGAAACGGCUCUCACUAAUACUGGGGGCUAAUGACGGUACCUUAGGAAUAAGCACCGGCUAACUACGUGCCAGCCGCCGCGGUAA